This 158-nucleotide ribosomal RNA is filed under the name Trebouxia sp. SAG 2463. RNAcentral describes it as "5.8S ribosomal RNA". It matches the Rfam family "5.8S ribosomal RNA". From Rfam's summary of the family: 5.8S ribosomal RNA (5.8S rRNA) is a component of the large subunit of the eukaryotic ribosome. It is transcribed by RNA polymerase I as part of the 45S precursor that also contains 18S and 28S rRNA. The record is from RNAcentral. Lineage: Eukaryota; Viridiplantae; Chlorophyta; Trebouxiophyceae; Trebouxiales; Trebouxiaceae.
CAGACAACUCUCAACAACGGAUAUCUUGGCUCCCGUAACGAUGAAGAACGCAGCGAAAUGCGAUACGUAGUGUGAAUUGCAGAAUUCCGUGAACCAUCGAAUCUUUGAACGCAAAUUGCGCUCGAGGCCUUGGCCAAGAGCAUGUCUGCCUCAGCGUC